Dermacentor albipictus is the source of this 1863-nucleotide long non-coding RNA. RefSeq lists it as uncharacterized. The record is from RefSeq and is a predicted model, not a curated record. NCBI's taxonomy places the organism in Eukaryota, Metazoa, Arthropoda, Arachnida, Ixodida, Ixodidae.
ACGACGAGCCGGGUGUACUCGUGCCAUCACAAGAGCCCGCACUCGUCUCUGCUUGUUUUUUCUCCAAUUCUAGAAUUUCUAUUUCUAUUUUGUGCUCUUCGCACGUUCGUUCGUAUUCCUUUUCAAUGAACGGCAUCGUAUCGUCCUUCGACAGGUCUAAGUCUAGCUAUCGCCGCCUUGGGCAAAGAAGGUGAGUAGGCUGAACCCGAUCCAGGUGCACUCAUGCCAUCGCGAUUGCCCGCGCCCAUUUAUGCUAGUGUUUAUUUCAAUUCUACAGUUUCUUUUUCUCUUUCGUGCUCUUCGCACGUGCGUUCGGGUUGCAUUUCGAAGAACGUCUCGUCUUCUGACAGGUUCAAAUCUUUAGCUAUCGCGGCGUACGGCAAUGAAGGUGAGUCGGGUGACGCCGGUCCGCGUGCACUCGUGCCAUCACGAGAGCCCGCACCCAUCUCUGCUUGUUUUUUCUCCAAUUAUAGAAUUACUGCUUCCAUUCUGUGCUCUUCGCACGCUGAUUUGUGUUGUUUUUCGAAGAAUGCCAUUGUCUCGUCCUUCGACAAGUUUAAAUCUUUAGCUUUUGCCGCCUAGAGUAAAGAAGGUGAGUCGGAUGACGCCGAUCCGUGUGUGCUCGUGCCAUCACGAGAGCCCCCGCCCAUCUCUCCUAGCUUUAUCUUCAAUUCUUGAAUUUCUUCUUUAGCAGGGAUUGUGCAGCAAAAAGGGAGACAAACGCUCAGUAUUGCAGUAGGUAUGUCGUCUCUGCUUCCAAGUGAAGUGAGUUGCCAAGGAGGGCUUGUUUUUGCUGUUUUUGAUGCUGUGAUGUUGUUGCCGAUGCUGCAGUUGAUUGGCUCAGCCGAUAUUCGCGCCUGCCGGUACAAAUGAAUCCUCGCUGCACCCGCCACGCCACGGGCACGCAUGUAGGAGCACUGGCGUCGGCAGAACUUACAGCUUCUGGAGCAGGGACUCGUCAGCAAAAAGGCAGACAUGCACUCAGCAUAGCAGUAGGUACCAGGGAAUCCUCGCCGCACCCGCCACCCCACGUGCACGCUUGUAGGAGCACUGGCGUCGAUACAGCUUGCAGCUUCCGGAGCAGGGAAUCUGAAGAAAAAAGUCAGAUAAGCGCUCAGCGUGGCAGCAGGUGCCAAGGAAUCCUCGCCGGACCCGUCACGCCACGUGCACGCUUGUAGAAGCACAGGCGUCGGCACAACUUGCAGCUUCCUGAGCACGGAAUCUGCAGCAAAAAGGCCGACUAGCACUCAGCGUUGCAGUUGGUUGGCACAGCUGACAGUCGCGCCUGCAGCUACCAGGGAAUCCUCGCUGCACCCGCCUCGCCACGUGCAUGCUUGUAAGAGCAAUGGCGUCUGCACAACUUGCAGCUUCUGGAGCAGGGAAUGUGCAGCAAAAAUGCAGACACGCACUCAGCGUGCAGUAGGUCAGUCGCCGCUGCUGCCAAAUGAAUUGCCGCGGAGCUUUCGUUUUUCUAGCUUUUGAUGCUGUGAAGUUGUUGCCGAUGCUGCAGUUCAGAAUGAACUCAGAAACACCAGAAUGUCCAAUAUAAAUGUGUCAGGUUCAUAUAGGUUUGUUACAGUUGCAAAAAAUCCCCAUCAGACCUUUUCCAAACAGCCAAUUUAGAGACCCUACCACUGAGACAAAACUAGGAAAGAAUAAUUCUGUUCUCCUUAAUUUACCAUAACAAACUUGGAAUAAACAAAAAUGCAUAUUUUCGUUCAGUUACCCAGCAACAAACCCGUUCUUUCCUUUCAAAGAAGGUGAGCGAGUUCUUGUGCAGAACAAAUGUGUUCAAAGCCUCACUUUUCCUGAGCACAGUUUGCACAUGCAAUUGGAUCAAAUAAAGUUCAUUGUCUGUCUGUC